GUAAGGAAUAUUGGACAAUGGACGCAAGUCUGAUCCAGCCAUGCCGCGUGCAGGAUUAAGGUCCUCUGGAUUGUAAACUUCUUUUAUAAGGGACGAAAAAAGGCUUUUCUAAGUCGUCUGACGGUACCUUAUGAAUAAGCACCGGCUAACUCCGUUCCAGCAGCCGCGGUAAUACGGCGGGUGCAAGCGUUAUCCGGAUUCACUGGGUUUAAAGGGUGCGUAGGCGGGCAGGUAAGUCAGUGGUGAAAUCCUAGAGCUUAACUCUAGAACUGCCAUUGAUACUAUCUGUCUUGAAUAUUGUGGAGGUAAGCGGAAUAUGUCAUGUGGCGGUGAAAUGCUUAGAUAUGACAUAGAACACCUAUUGCGAAGGCAGCUUACUACGCAUAUAUUGACGCUGAGGCACGAAAGCGUGGGGAUCAAACAGGAUUAGAUACCCGAGUAGUCC
This 445-nucleotide ribosomal RNA is filed under the name uncultured bacterium. RNAcentral describes it as "partial 16S ribosomal RNA". It matches the Rfam family "Bacterial small subunit ribosomal RNA", at positions 354 to 796 of the family's 1533-position model. The record is from RNAcentral.